Molecule: non-coding RNA, 411 nt
Organism: Danio aesculapii
Lineage: Eukaryota; Metazoa; Chordata; Actinopteri; Cypriniformes; Danionidae
Source: the annotation of a RefSeq genome assembly
AUGUUCCCUUGUAUCCUCAUACUGCUGACUUUAACUGAAGGUAACCUUGCUAAAGAUGUGAUCACUCCAUACAGUGAUGCAGUUUUUGCCAGUGAGACUGAGAGUGUGAAACUCUCCUGUAACUACACUGGUUCUGUUGAUGGUCUUUACUGGUAUCGACAGUAUCCAGGUUCACCACUACACUUCCUCAUAAUGGAUUAUUAUGGGUCAGUUACUCAUGCGAAUCCUCCGAUUGCUGGAAUAUCCAUCAAACACAGAAAAGAUGACAGCAGUGUGGAUCUGGAGAUCUCCUCUGCUGCAGUAUCAGACUCUGCUGUGUAUUACUGUGCUCUGAGGCCCACAGUGACAGGAAAACACUUUACAUCAUACAAAAACCCGACUGACAUGACACAGAUAAAAGUAUCAGUGUGA